GGCCCCAUCGUCCAGCGGUUAGGACAUAGCCCUCUCAAGGCUAAGACACGGGUUCGAGUCCCGUUGGGGUCACCA
This 75-nucleotide transfer RNA is filed under the name Planctomycetes bacterium DG_20. RNAcentral describes it as "tRNA-Glu". It matches the Rfam family "tRNA". Rfam says of the family: Transfer RNA (tRNA) molecules are approximately 80 nucleotides in length. Their secondary structure includes four short double-helical elements and three loops (D, anti-codon, and T loops). Further hydrogen bonds mediate the characteristic L-shaped molecular structure. tRNAs have two regions of fundamental functional importance: the anti-codon, which is responsible for specific mRNA codon recognition, and the 3' end, to which the tRNAs corresponding amino acid is attached (by aminoacyl-tRNA synthetases). tRNAs cope with the degeneracy of the genetic code in two manners: having more than one tRNA (with a specific anti-codon) for a particular amino acid; and 'wobble' base-pairing, i.e. permitting non-standard base-pairing at the 3rd anti-codon position. RNAcentral also lists the same sequence under 3 other names. The record is from RNAcentral. Lineage: Bacteria; Pseudomonadati; Planctomycetota.